GACGAACGCUGGCGGCGUGCUUAACACAUGCAAGUCGAACGGAAAGGCCCUGCUUUUGUGGGGUGCUCGAGUGGCGAACGGGUGAGUAACACGUGAGUAACCUGCCCUUGACUUUGGGAUAACUUCAGGAAACUGGGGCUAAUACCGGAUAGGAGCUCCUGCUGCAUGGUGGGGGUUGGAAAGUUUCGGCGGUUGGGGAUGGACUCGCGGCUUAUCAGCUUGUUGGUGGGGUAGUGGCUUACCAAGGCUUUGACGGGUAGCCGGCCUGAGAGGGUGACCGGCGACAUUGGGACUGAGAUACGGACCAGACUCCUACGGGAGGCAGCAGUGGGGAAUCUUGCACAAUGGGCGGAAGUCUGAUGCAGAAACGCCGCGUGCGGGAUGACGGCCUUCGGGUUGUAAACCGCUUUCGCCUGUGACGAAGCGUGAGUGACGGUAAUGGGUAAAGAAGCACCGGCUAACUACGUG
This 468-nucleotide ribosomal RNA is filed under the name uncultured bacterium. RNAcentral describes it as "partial 16S ribosomal RNA". It matches the Rfam family "Bacterial small subunit ribosomal RNA", at positions 28 to 507 of the family's 1533-position model. The record is from RNAcentral.